Anthonomus grandis grandis is the source of this 1043-nucleotide long non-coding RNA. RefSeq lists it as uncharacterized. NCBI's taxonomy places the organism in Eukaryota, Metazoa, Arthropoda, Insecta, Coleoptera, Curculionidae. The record is from RefSeq and is a predicted model, not a curated record. The transcript is spliced from 3 exons.
UUUCCGGCCCACAAGCAUAAACGCCACCGGCAACGGAAGUUCCCAAAAUCCAAACAAAUGUUGGAAGAUAUUUUUAAGUCUCCGCAUCUUUCUUACUUUCCUAUAUGAAAAUAAAAUUGGACUACACCAACAAAGGUUAUGUGUUUUGCACCAGAUUGAAAGCAUCAUAGCGAAAAACGGACCUGUCAUAUCUUUAAAUUUUCAAAAGAGCCCCUGGAAAAAGAAAAAUGAAUAUCUUUGCCAAGGAAUACUAAGGCAAAUGGAUAAAAAACCAUGUGUGUGAAGCUAGCGUCCGAUCGAUAUCCAGCAACCAAAAUCGAGAACGCAGCAUAUGCCGGUUGCCAGCGACCAAUUUAUAGUCCGCGCUCCCUGUUAUUUAAUCAAUAUAAUGCCCGUCUCUCCAAAAAUUCCCAAGGGAUUUUAAUAAUUUUUUGUCCAGAUAUUAACAAUGAAUACCUAGAUCGACUGACGAUGGUCUCAAACCUCUACAAACUAAGGUUUUGUUGUGAAAAUUAAUUAAAAAGUCAAAUGGUAAAAAAAUGAAAAAGGCUCUAACUCCCAAAAUUCCCAAAGGAUUUGGAUAAAACUUUUUUUUAUAAAAGAUAAUAAAUAUCUAAAUUGAUUUUAGAUGGUUGCAAACCUCUACAAACGAAAGUUUUUUGGUAAAAAAUUAUUGAAUUUUUAGAUGUACAAAAAAAAUUUAAAAGCUAUAACUUCCAAAAUUCCCAAAGGAUUCGAAUAAAACAUUUUCAUGUAAUUACUAAUAAAUAUCUAAACCGAUUUCGGAUAGUUGCAAACCUCUACAAACAACACUUUUUUGGUAAAAAAUUAUUGAAAUGUUAGAUGUAGAAAAAUAUAAACAGCUAUAAUUCCCAAAACUCCCAAAGGAUUUGAAUGAAACUUUUUUACGCAAUUAGCAAUAAAUAUUUAAAUCGAUUUUACAUGGUUGCAAAUCUCUACAAACGAAAGUUUUUUGGCAAAAAAUUAUUGAAAUGUUAGAUGUAAAAAAAUAUAAACGGCUAUAACUCCCAAAACUCCCAAAG